AAUGAACGCUGGCGGCGCGCCUAAUACAUGCAAGUCGAGCGAGAAGACGUAGCAAUACGUUUGUAAAGCGGCGAACGGGUGAGGAAUACAUGGGUAACCUACCCUUGAGUGGGGAAUAACUAGCCGAAAGGUUAGCUAAUACCGCGUACGCUUCUUGGACUUCGGUCCAGGGAGGAAAGCGAUGCCGAGGGUAUCGCGCUCUUGGAUGGGCUCAUGUCCUAUCAGCUUGUUGGGAGGUAACGGCUCACCAAGGCUUCGACGGGUAGCUGGUCUGAGAGGACGAUCAGCCACACUGGCACUGCGACACGGGCCAGACUCCUACGGGAGGCAGCAGUAAGGAAUAUUGCGCAAUGGGCGAAAGCCUGACGCAGCGACGCCGCGUGGGGGAUGAAGGUCUUCGGAUUGUAAACCCC
Molecule: ribosomal RNA, 413 nt
Filed under: uncultured bacterium
Lineage: Bacteria
Description: bacterial SSU rRNA
Rfam family: Bacterial small subunit ribosomal RNA
Source: RNAcentral